Pongo abelii (Sumatran orangutan) is the source of this 147-nucleotide unclassified non-coding RNA. It matches the Rfam family "Metazoan signal recognition particle RNA". From Rfam's summary of the family: The signal recognition particle (SRP) is a universally conserved ribonucleoprotein. The record is from Ensembl. Lineage: Eukaryota; Metazoa; Chordata; Mammalia; Primates; Hominidae.
GCCGGGCAUGGUGGUGCGUGCCUGUAGUCCCGGCUACUCAGGAGGCUGAGGCAGGAGAAUCGCUUGAACCUGGGAGGUGGAGAUUGCAGUGAGCCGAGAUCGCGCCACUGCGCUCCAGCCUGGUGACAGAGCGAGAUUCUGCCUCAA